Molecule: ribosomal RNA, 503 nt
Filed under: uncultured bacterium
Lineage: Bacteria
Description: partial 16S ribosomal RNA
Rfam family: Bacterial small subunit ribosomal RNA
Source: RNAcentral
AUUGAACGCUGGCGGCAGGCUUAACACAUGCAAGUCGAGCGGUGUGAUGGUGCUUGCACUAUCACUUAGCGGCGGACGGGUGAGUAAUGCUUAGGAAUCUGCCUAUUAGUGGGGGACAACAUCUCGGAAGGGAUGCUAAUACCGCAUACGUCCUACGGGAGAAAGCAGGGGAUCACUUGUGACCUUGCGCUAGUAGAUGAGCCUAAGUCGGAUUAGCUAGUUGGUGGGGUAAAGGCCUACCAAGGCGACGAUCUGUAGCGGGUCUGAGAGGAUGAUCCGCCACACUGGGACUGAGACACGGCCCAGACUCCUACGGGAGGCAGCAGUGGGGAAUAUUGGACAAUGGGGGGAACCCUGAUCCAGCCAUGCCGCGUGUGUGAAGAAGGCCUUAUGGUUGUAAAGCACUUUAAGCGAGGAGGAGGCUCUUUUGGUUAAUACCCAAGAUGAGUGGACGUUACUCGCAGAAUAAGCACCGGCUAACUCUGUGCCAGCCGCCGCAGUAA